GGAUUGUGGCUCAGUGGUAGAGCACUUACCAAGCAUGUGUGAGGUUCUGGGUUCAAUUCUCAGACCA
Molecule: transfer RNA, 67 nt
Filed under: Marmota monax (woodchuck)
Lineage: Eukaryota; Metazoa; Chordata; Mammalia; Rodentia; Sciuridae
Description: tRNA.Ala
Source: RNAcentral